Molecule: long non-coding RNA, 756 nt
Organism: Medicago truncatula (barrel medic)
Lineage: Eukaryota; Viridiplantae; Streptophyta; Magnoliopsida; Fabales; Fabaceae
Exons: 3
Source: RefSeq, a predicted model, not a curated record
UAUCCAAUCAGCUUUUGUCAAUAUAUUAUUAUUAAUUUUCUACGAUUUGGCGAUUCCAAGAUAGUUUUCCAUGGAAGAAAAACAUAUCAAAAUGUAUUUUUUUUGAUAGAUCGGAAGAUAAAUCGAAGAAAUUUUGAAUAAAUACCAAGAGCUCACAAACAAGAAAGUGUGAAGUUGCUCAAAAAGAUGGAUUCGGGUCACCUGAUGCAGUAGUUGCGCAGUUGCACCACCGCAUCGCCGAGUUGCUGCUAUGCCCAAGAGAUGUGGAAUUGCCAUUCCUUAUCAAUCUUAAGUUGCUGAGACCAGCAGAAAACAGAAUACUCCCUGUGACAUUGCAACAGCAAGAGAGACACGGGGCAGUACUAGAGUUGGGACAAUCGCCUGAGGAUUGAAGACUUGUAGUCAAGCAGUUUCCCAUUUAGUUGUUUGUUUUGCUCUUUCUUUGAACAAUGCUAUUGCUAGCAUCCCAUGCUUACAAAAAACUAGAGGAAGGAAAAGCAAGAGAGAAAUGUUGAAAGGCCUACCUGAAGUGAUUAUAUCUUGUAUUAUAAUAAUGACAGUGAAAAGAGUACCUACAAGGAAAAAAUACUUGUCACGUGUACAUUGAAUUGUGGAGAAUGACAUAGUGAGAAUACGAAAUUGUACUUGUAGGUGCAGUGACAAGGAAGCUUCCUAGAAUACUCCCAAGUAAAUGCAAUUCUAAUCAUGUGGGGAUCAUUGUCAUUCUCUCUUUAGUGUUAGCCAAUAUCGUCCUUA